Molecule: long non-coding RNA, 1521 nt
Organism: Oreochromis niloticus (Nile tilapia)
Lineage: Eukaryota; Metazoa; Chordata; Actinopteri; Cichliformes; Cichlidae
Exons: 5
Source: RefSeq, a predicted model, not a curated record
GACCUAAUGUUAAACAAGGAGAUGUGGUCCUGCUAAAGGACUCCCAAGCCAGCAGGAACGAAUGGCCCAUGGGACAAAUAGUAAAAACAUUCCCCAGCAGCGACAAGAAGGUCCGGAAAGUGGAAGUGCGGAUUGUAAAAGAUGGGACUGUUAAAAUGUUUCUCAGACCACUUUCAGAGAUAUUUGUUUUGCUUGCAGAGACUGAAUGAAUAUUCUUCGAUGCUAAAUGAUGUUUGAAUAUGUUGUAUUGAUGUUUAUAGUGAUAUAAUGUGUUUAUAUCAAGCGGGGAGUGUUAUGCCUUUUGGUCAAAAGUCAGUAGUUAGUGCAUAAUCUGAUUAAGUUACGUAAGCAAGGUGAUAAAUAAGUUCAAAGUUAAGAAAUAUCAUAAGUAAUUCAUGCUAAAAACAGUUAAGAUGUGUGGAUUUGAAAUUUGCUCAGAGUGAGACAUCGUUAUCGCAAGCGAUCUUUGUAUUGUACGUGCGGGAAUGGGAGCGAGGGAGCGCUCUGAUCAUUAACCUAUCUUUGACAUAUUUUCUCCGUUAAUGCUGUGAAAAGUGCUUCGGCAGUAUUAAAAGAGUGAAAGAGUUCAUGUACACGCUAAGAGUGCCCUACACGCUUGUACCUUGGGAAACGUUCGUCUUUUUACAAAUAAGAAAUAGCAAGGAGAAGCCUUGAGAGUGAUAAGGCUUUAAAGGAUCUUCAUUAAAAGCAAGAAAAGCAAGCCUUGUGUGGAAGAUCUCGUCUAUUUUGUUCGCUGGCUGUCUAGCUUCACAUGGUCGCGUGACGUGAGGGCAGCACAAAGGUCCAUACGCACGAAUGAACAUAAGGGUGAUUCCCAAAGGGCUAUUAGUCAAAAACUUUUUUCAGUGUGAGAAACUGAACAAGUGGAAGACAAAAGAAGUACGUGGCAGGGGUGCGGUCUCUGGCCUGCUGCAGCGGAGGGGCGUUACGUGACAACGGGGACGGAGAAGGUGUGUGGAAGGAAGCAACUGUACCUGAGUGACUGGUGCUGGAAAGAAAAAACAGUUGCCAAAACAGAAUAAAACUGACUUGCAUUGCAUGAAAUCCGGUGUGUGUGUUGGGUCCUUAUCACAGAGUAUCAUACAAAAAAACUUAUCUACAGAACAGUAUCUGAAAGUCAUGUCGUUUGGAAACAGAAAAACCUCCUGAAAGACCUGACACAGGACUCGAGAGAUGCAUCUGGCCCUUCAGUUCUUAAUUUCCUGCGUCAUCAAAAAUGGUCCAAGUUGUAUGGGUGGCUGUCAAGAAGCCAUUCUUAAGGAAGGGAAACAGGGAGAAAAAACUGAGGAAGAAGCCUCCAACAGAACCAGGCUCAGGGAGUCGCAGCCAUCUGUCAAACAGUAAUGCCAAUACAGUAAAAGCAUACCUGGAUAGAAAAACAAACUUCAGAUAGCAAUUUGAUGAUGGGCAGAUAGAAAUGAAGAUAAUGAAGAUGCAGAUAAAUAAAGAACUUUGUAAUGUAAGUAACAACAUAAUUGCAACUCUAAUGAAACUGCUGAA